RNAcentral lists this ribosomal RNA (355 nucleotides) under uncultured bacterium. Its description in RNAcentral is "bacterial SSU rRNA". It matches the Rfam family "Bacterial small subunit ribosomal RNA", at positions 29 to 373 of the family's 1533-position model. The record is from RNAcentral.
AUUGAACGCUGGCGGCAUGCUUUACACAUGCAAGUCGAGCGGGGGUAGAGGGGCAACUCUCUAUUCAGCGGCGGACGGGUGAGUAAUGCAUCGGAACGUAUCCCGUAGUGGGGGACACCCAGCGAAAGCUGGGCUAAUACCGCAUAUGCUCUGAGGAGGAAAGCAGGGGACCCAGCGGGCAACUGAGGGGCCUUGUGCUAUGGGAGCGGCCGAUGUCCGAUAGCUGGUUGGUGAGGUAAAGGCUUACCAAGGCGACGAUCGGUAGCUGGUCUGAGAGGAUGAUCAGCCACACUGGGACUGAGACACGGCCCAGACCUCCUACGGGAGGCAGCAGGUGGGGUAAUUUUGGACAAGU